CCGACAGGCGUCCAAUCAAAACUUUGAUGGCCAGCAGAAAUGGACGAUCGUUAAGGUCCACAGUGCGAUAGGCUUUACCUUCAUCAUAGAAGUCCGAAAAAUGGAGGACAGACAUAAAAGGAGCCGAUAUGGGAUUUAAAUUUAUUUUCAUGCACCAACUAUGCCAUCUGCUCCAAGCAGAUUUAUAAGCCUGUCUCGUGUUGGGUGCACCCUUGAU
Non-coding RNA from Pelobates cultripes (western spadefoot toad), 217 nucleotides. NCBI's taxonomy places the organism in Eukaryota, Metazoa, Chordata, Amphibia, Anura, Pelobatidae. The record is from the annotation of a GenBank genome assembly.